RNAcentral lists this ribosomal RNA (303 nucleotides) under uncultured bacterium. Its description in RNAcentral is "partial 16S ribosomal RNA". It matches the Rfam family "Bacterial small subunit ribosomal RNA", at positions 507 to 807 of the family's 1533-position model. The record is from RNAcentral.
AGCAGUCGCCACGGUAAUACGUAGGUGGCAAGCGUUGUCCGGAAUUAUUGGGCGUAAAGGGCUCGCAGGCGGUUUCUUAAGUCUGAUGUGAAAGCCCCCGGCUCAACCGGGGAGGGUCAUUGGAAACUGGGAAACUUGAGUGCAGAAGAGGAGAGUGGAAUUCCGCGUGUAGCGGUGAAAUGCGUAGAGAUGUGGAGGAACACCAGUGGCGAAAGCGACUCUCUGGUCUGUAACUGACGCUGAGGAGCGAAAGCGUGGGGAGCGAACAGGAUUAGAUACCCCCGUAGUCCCUGUCUCUUAUAC